UGCCAGACUCCUACGGGAGGCAGCAGUGAGGAAUAUUGGUCAAUGGGCUAAGGCCUGAACCAGCCAAGUCGCGUGAGGGAAGACGGUCCUAUGGAUUGUAAACCUCUUUUGUCGGGGAGCAACGAGGCCACGUGUGGCCGAAGUGAGAGUACCCGAAGAAAAAGCAUCGGCUAACUCCGUGCCAGCAGCCGCGGUAAUACGGAGGAUGCGAGCGUUAUCCGGAUUUAUUGGGUUUAAAGGGUGCGCAGGCGGAGGUGCAAGUCAGCGGUCAAAUUGCGGGGCUCAACCCCGUACUGCCGUUGAAACUGCAUCCCUUGAGUGCGCGAGAAGUAUGCGGAAUGCGUGGUGUAGCGGUGAAAUGCAUAGAUAUCACGCAGAACUCCGAUUGCGAAGGCAGCGUACCGGCGCCCAACUGACGCUGAAGCACGAAGGCGUGGGUAUCGAACAGGAUUAGAUACCCGGGUAUU
Molecule: ribosomal RNA, 467 nt
Filed under: uncultured bacterium
Lineage: Bacteria
Description: bacterial SSU rRNA
Rfam family: Bacterial small subunit ribosomal RNA
Source: RNAcentral